GCCGGACCACUGUAACGCAAAUGCACCAGUCUCCAACGUUUGGACACGUUACAAGAAACUGCAGGGGCCCGCUUUCUCCGGUGAACCAGUGCAGGAAGUGUUUGAACUCUGGUAUCACUUACCUUCGUAAUCUAGUUGGUGCGGAGACUAAUAACGUUACUCUGAGUACUUGUCGUGAUGCGACUUACGCAACAUUAGCAAGCCGUAUGGACGAUGCUUCGGCUCUUGAACUACUUGGUUGUUUCUUUCAAGUGACAGAGCUUAGUGUUGUCCCUUCAGGUUAGACGGUUACUCCUUCCGGUUUACUCCCUCGGUUCCAAGAUAUAAGAUGUUUUGAUAUUUUUCAAGUACUCUAACUUUAUUGAAAAUUGGUUAACCCAAUAACAUUUUACUAAAUUAUUUAUGAUUGGUUAAUUUAUGUUUAAUUUAUAUAAUUUAAUAAUUUUAUUUCCUACAAGGUAAGUUUCUUAAUCUUUGUGCAUUUAAGCAAAACAUCUUAUAUUAUGGAACAGAUUAAGUAUUUUUUAUUAGUUGAAAGAUAGUUAGGUGUAUACUUAAUGACAUUUUUAUUUAGAAAAUAUAGAAAAUUAAAUAUUUCUCUUAAUUUCUGUGCACAAAUCUAAAACUAAAUUAAAAAUGAAACACAGAAAGUAUAAUUUUCUUACCAUCAUCACAUUCAGGUUUGUAUCUUUUUAUGAUUUGGUUCGUAUGUGGACAGUCUCAUUUCCACCUAUGGAGAGUCCAGGACCGUCUCCAAGCGUGAUUGAUGCUGAUGUCCCAAGCAAGAGUGAUUCUCCAAUGACUUCUUCAAGUGAAAGCAACAAUCCAUAUCACUUAACAUUGCUUCCAACCAUUGGGAUUGUUGUUACGGCUGUUUCUCUUACGAUGCUCGUGGUUCUGGUGAUUCUUAUCCGUAGAAAGAACCGGGAACUCGAUGAAUCUGAGAGUUUGGAUAGAAAAUCAGCAAAAACACGUCCUUCUCCCCGGCCUGUAUUCAAGAUUCAUCAAGGUGAGAAAAACAACAUGUGUACUUUCAUUACAUUAAAUCAUAUGAAUGAUAAAUUGAUAGACUAGAAAGGACCCUGACCAUUGUGUCAGAAGUCCCCAUUUGGAAUGACUGAUAGGACGAAACUAAUAUUACAUGAUGUGGUUUCGUUUUUUUCUGUAGAUGAUUCUUCUCCUUUCCAAAAGUUCAGCUACAAGGAAAUGACAACUGCAACAAAAGAGUUCAACACAGUGAUUGGUCAUGGAGGUUUUGGGACUGUUUACAAAGCCGAGUUCAGCGAUGGAUUGGUUGCAGCUGUAAAGAGAAUGAACAAAGCCUCUGAACAAUCUAAACAAGAUUUCUGCAGAGAGAUAGAGCUUUUGGCUAAGCUCCAUCACCGUAACCUCGUUGACUUGAAAGGCUUUUGCAUUGAAAAGAAAGAAAGGUGAAGAAACACACAUUGUUUUCUCUCCCUUCUGCAUUUAUCUAAAACGUAAAAAAGUUUAAAAAAGUAUGCUCAUCUUCGUUUUUUUUGUCCUACAAUCUUUCAGGUUCCUCAUCUAUGAGUACAUGGAAAAUGGGAGCUUAAAAGAUCAUCUACAUUGUAUGUAUAUGAUUCUUCUAUGUUAAGCAUAAAAGAUUCGUGGUGUUGUAACUUCUCUUAUUUUCUCUCUCUCCAAUGCAGCUACAGAGAAGCCUCCACUUAGUUGGGAAACAAGAAUGAAAAUAGCUAUUGAUGUGGCUAAUGCUUUGGUACGCAUUCCAUAGCCUUUCCCACAUACACUUCCUCUAGUAAACUGAUAUACCCUUUUAAGUUUAAUUAUGAGCCUCUUACAGUUUUUGAUUCUUGGCUGCAACUAUGUUCUCUCAUCCAGGAAUAUCUUCAUUUCUACUGUGAUCCACCUCUCUGCCACAGAGACAUUAAAUCAAGCAAUAUACUACUGGAUGAUAAAUUUGUAGCUAAAGUAUGCACCCUCACUCAUUAUCUAUGUUAUAGAAACCAUUCAACUUGUUUUAAAUAAUGUUUUCUUGGUGCAGCUUUCAGAUUUUGGCCUUGCACAUUCGUCUAGAGAUGGAUCUGUUUGUUUUGAGCCUGUGAAUACUGAUAUUCAUGGAACUCCAGGUUAAGAAGAGAGAUACAUAACAUAACAAAACAACAUGACUACUUCUGAUGGAAACUGAAUUUUAAUUUUUCAGGUUAUGUAGAUCCAGAGUAUGUGGUGACACAAGAGCUGACAGAGAAGAGUGAUGUGUACAGCUACGGAGUUGUGUUGCUGGAGAUUAUAACGGGAAGAAGAGCUGUUGAUGAAGGUAGGAACCUUGUUGAAACGUCUCAGCGGUUUCUAGUGACUAAAUCAAGACACAAGGAUCUAGUAGACCCGAGGAUAAAAGACUCCAUUGACGAUGAUGAUAAUGGAGAGAGACAGCUUGAAGCUGUUGUGACGGUUGUGAGAAUGUGUACUGAGAAAGAAGGCCGGUCUAGGCCAUCGAUUAAGCAAGUGUUGAGGAUGCUGUGUGAAAGCUAUGAUCCGUUGCAUAGCGGAUUUGCUAAAGCUGUUGAUGAAGAGGUGGGACAAGAUACUAUGCAGAGAACCGUUUUGAGGUUUCAAAGAAGCAAUAAUAACCGAUUCAUUGGUGGUUCAUCAUCGUCCAAGUCGCUUUGCAGCCAGAGUGUACCUCACUCUCCAGUAAAUGGACUCUCUUUCUGAGUUAAAUCUUUAAGUUUCACAUAUAAAUAUAACAUUUAUGAAUUCAUAUUGAAAGCUCUCGCAUACUCUGCACUCUUUUAAGUAGAUUCAGUUCAAAAGAUUUCUACAUUGUCUGCAUCUCUCCUGUACUAGUAGAAACUAUCUUCUAUUACAUUUUUUUUCUUGUCUUCCAAGUCCCAAGUCCGAGGGAGUUAAAGCCAGAGUCUUCCUUUUGAUGGGUGUUGUACUACAUUACCAGGCUCUUCUUGCUUGUGUUUUGUCUUCUUACCAUGGACCAGUUAGGGUUCUUCUCAAGCAUUGCGUUUUGGCCAGCCAUGGACGCUGCUUAGACGGUUCCUUUAGCAGUAAAUUCAACAAGCCGUAUCAGUAAACUUAUGAUCAAAAAGACAGUAGAGCACAUUCAGACAGACAAAAGUAUUGUUUUAGUGUUUAGUGAUUUUGAUUUAGAGUUUAAGAUUUAUCCUAGAGUUUAAAAUUUAUACGAGAAUUUAGGGUUUACCCAUGGGUUUAGAGUUUAGGAUUUAGGGUUUAGGGAUUAGGAUUUAGGGUUUAAUAUUUUGCUGACGACGUUAUAAUAUUUUUUUUUUGUAAUUACUACUAUUUUUUAUUUAUUUCUUUUUUUGUAAUUACUACUAUUUUUUAUUUAUUUCUUUUUACCUUUUAAUUUAAAAAAAAAUAUAAUUUGACAAUAUUUUUUUUUUUAAAAAAAUAUCAAAUAUUAAAUAACAAAAUCAUAUUGGUCGGUGAACCUAGAGAAUAACUCUUACCAUGCGAGUUCCCAUUUCAAACUUCUGUUAAUCCUACUAAAUACGCACUAAUGUUGGUUUGAACCAAUCAAAGAAAACUUCACAUGAGAGAAACUAAUCUUAUAACAUAAUUUGUCAGAACAUAAAAGAAAGUGAGGAUGUUUUAUUCAUUUCAUAUUGGAUGAGGACGAGAUGAAAUGAUAAGUUAGGGACUUCUUUAAAAACAUUUCGUCGUUUAUCAUCACGAAUUGAAUAAGAGAGUUGUGAUUCUUUGUCUCUUUCCUUGUCUAGUGAGAGAGAGUAUACAGACCCUCGAAUGCCAUAUCACAGGACCUUCUAUUAACCCUUUUUAUAAUCUCUCUCUUUUCUCUCUCUCUCUCUCUCUCUCUCUCUCUGGUUUGGUUUUGGCUAUGGUGGUGAAUAGUCAAGCUUUCUUGUUAGCAUUAAUUGCAUUACUUGGAACCCAACUGUCUUCACUAAUGGCUGCAGGUUUGUCUUUCCAAUUUUUCCUCUGUUUUGCUUCUCUCAAAAAGCUUAUUUUUCUAAUUUUGUCCUCUUCUAAAAUCAAAAGAUAAUAUGGUGGUCCUUUUCAUCAAAAUCAGAUUUUGAGCUUCUGGGUUUUCAAAAUUUUGUUGCUUUCUUGUACUAGAGUUUGAAUUUUGAUGAGUUGCUUACAUGCAAAUACUCUGUUUUGGAUUGAAAACAGAUCUUGAAAAAUAAAUAAAAUUUUAAGUUUUUUUUUUUGUAAAAGAAUAAAAUUUUAAAUUUCCAUGAGUAAAAUCAGUUAUAUAAACUUUAAUUUUGUUUGAACAAAAAAAAAACUUUAAUUUUGUUUGUGACCAAAAAAAGAAAAAAACUUUAAUUUUGUUGAAGCAGUGAUUAAAGCUUGAAACUUUUACAUUAUCUUUCUAGAUUUUGAGGCAAAUCUCUGUUCUUGCUUCUCUGUUUCAGACACUAAGGUUUUACUGCUUUGUUGUCUGUGUGACUGUGUGUCUGCAGAUUGUCCAUUAGAUUUCACUUCAUCAAACUUCACUCUAGUAGCUUCUGUCUGCUCCAACAUAACCAACAGAGGCAAAUGCUGCCGCUACAUGAACGCUUUCGUUGCUAUAUCCGUGGCUCGUUACGCCAACAUAUCAAACAAUCUCGGAGUCACAUCGGAUCUAUCCGAAACCUGCGUUGCCUCCAUCUCCAAAACAAUGGAGCUCUAUGGAGUCCCUAGAAACGCGACUAGCUUCUGCGGGUUAGGAACCAAGAUCCUGGUCACGUACAGCUGCGAAGGCCGGACCACUGUAACGCAAAUGCACCAGUCUCCAACGUUUGGACACGUUACAAGAAACUGCAGGGGCCCGCUUUCUCCGGUGAACCAGUGCAGGAAGUGUUUGAACUCUGGUAUCACUUACCUUCGUAAUCUAGUUGGUGCGGAGACUAAUAACGUUACUCUGAGUACUUGUCGUGAUGCGACUUACGCAACAUUAGCAAGCCGUAUGGACGAUGCUUCGGCUCUU
This 4945-nucleotide long non-coding RNA is filed under the name Brassica napus (rape). Its description in RNAcentral is "long non-coding RNA (BNAP_LNC018253)". The record is from RNAcentral. Lineage: Eukaryota; Viridiplantae; Streptophyta; Magnoliopsida; Brassicales; Brassicaceae.